Long non-coding RNA from Passer domesticus (house sparrow), 185 nucleotides. RefSeq lists it as uncharacterized. The transcript has 3 exons. Lineage: Eukaryota; Metazoa; Chordata; Aves; Passeriformes; Passeridae. The record is from RefSeq and is a predicted model, not a curated record.
CUCGCUGGUUCUAUGGAACAGCAGCCCCAAGGACUAACCAGGAGACAGAAGGAGCGUAGUUCCAGGACAGACAAUCAUGUGGUUCUGAAGAGGCAGCAGUUUCUAUUUCUGUCUUGCAAAUUUCUGCUUGCCAUCAUCAGGCCUAGGAUGGAUGCCUGGAAUGUAGGUCCAGCUGUAAAUGAUUG